AUUGAACGCUGGCGGCAGGCCUAACACAUGCAAGUCGAGCGGAGCGGCGGACGGGUGAGUAAUGCCUAGGAAUCUGCCUGGUAGUGGGGGAUAAGUUCCGGAAACGGGCGCUAAUCCCGCUUCCUUUAGAAUAAGCCAAGGUCGGAUUAGCUAGUUGGUGGGGUAAAGGCCUACCAAGGCGACGACCCGUAACUGGUCUGAGAGGAUGAUCAGUCACACUGGAACUGAGACACGGUCCAGACUCCUACGGGAGGCAGCAGUGGGGAAUAUUGGACAAUGGGCGAAAGCCUGAUCCAGCCAUGCCGCGUGUGUGAAGAAGGUCUUCGGAUUGUAAAGCACUUUAAGUUGGGAGGCGUUACCAACAGAAUAAGCACCGGCUAACUUCGUGCCAGCAGCCGCGGUAAUAC
RNAcentral lists this ribosomal RNA (407 nucleotides) under uncultured bacterium. RNAcentral's name for it is "partial 16S ribosomal RNA". It matches the Rfam family "Bacterial small subunit ribosomal RNA", at positions 30 to 526 of the family's 1533-position model. The record is from RNAcentral.